UCUCCGUAGGUGAACCUGCGGAAGGAUCAUUACUGAGUGAGGGCCCCUCGGGGUCCAACCUCCCACCCGUGUUUAACGAACCUUGUUGCUUCGGCGGGCCCGCCUCACGGCCGCCGGGGGGCAUCCGCCCCCGGGCCCGCGCCCGCCGAAGCCACCUGUGAACGCUGUCUGAAGUAUGCAGUCUGAGACAAUUAUUAAAUUAAUUAAAACUUUCAACAACGGAUCUCUUGGUUCCG
RNAcentral lists this unclassified non-coding RNA (236 nucleotides) under plant metagenome. RNAcentral's name for it is "partial contains small subunit ribosomal RNA, internal transcribed spacer 1, and 5.8S ribosomal RNA". The record is from RNAcentral.